CGUAUAUAGGAUUUUUAUUAUAUAUACAGCCUGCCCGGUGAAUAGCUUAAACGGCCGCGGUAUUUUGACUGUGCUAAGGUAGCAUAAUCAAUUGUCUAUUAAUUGUAGACUUGUAUGAAUGGUUAAACACAUUUUUGCUUUUUUAGAAAGUGUUUUGAAUUUAUGUUUUUAUUAAAAAUAAUAAAAUGUAGUAUUGGGACGAGAAGACCCUAUUAAGUUUUAUAUUUAGGUUAUUUUUAUUUUUAGUAGUUUAUUAUGACUAAGAAUAUUUUACUGGGGCGGUAGCUUAUUUUAAACGUAGAUGAGUGUAUUUAUUAGAAUUUUGAUCCACUAGUUAGUGAUAUUUAGAUUAAAUUACUGUAGGGAUAACAGCGUUAUAUAGUCUGAAAGUUCUUAUUGAUGACUAUGUUUGCGACCUCGAUGUUGGUUUAAGAUUCCCUUAAGGAGUAGAUGAUUUUUUGGGUGGUUUGUUCAACCAUUAAAUUCUUAUU
This 491-nucleotide ribosomal RNA is filed under the name Cryptops indicus. RNAcentral describes it as "partial 16S small subunit ribosomal RNA". It matches the Rfam family "Bacterial large subunit ribosomal RNA", at positions 1832 to 2600 of the family's 2925-position model. Lineage: Eukaryota; Metazoa; Arthropoda; Chilopoda; Scolopendromorpha; Cryptopidae. The record is from RNAcentral.